RNAcentral lists this unclassified non-coding RNA (1197 nucleotides) under Hevea brasiliensis (rubber tree). The record is from RNAcentral. Lineage: Eukaryota; Viridiplantae; Streptophyta; Magnoliopsida; Malpighiales; Euphorbiaceae.
AAACAAGAACAACAGUACCGUACUAACAUAACAAAAAUUGAAUUUCAUUAGGCAUCUAUAAAGACAAUACUGUGAAAUAGAAGAGUUUUCAGUAAAAUCCAUGUGCUCUCUAACUCCCCCCCACCCUCUUUUUUAUAUCGUGCAUAAGAUGACUGGGUUAGAGUCUCAAACAAAAUAGCAGAUUGUCUCAGUGCUAGACUACUAGUUACAUAAUCUAACCUCAAUUAGCUCGUUCAAAACACUAGGAAUUCAAGUUGCAAAUAACUAUCUGACAGGUGCCAAACAAUAUUAAUUUUGCAAUAGAGAAUUCAAUUUCUUCUAUGAUCUAUUACCUAAAAGGUGUCAUGGCACAUUUCAAUCACUUUUUUAAGGCAUUUUUAAAAGUUGGUCAUCAAUUGCAGAUCCCUUCUCUACAAACAAUCUGAUAUUUCUUUGUUCAUACAGUUUAUGGCUUGAUCACUGCCUAAAGUUUAAGAUAAAGUAAAAACGAAAAUAGCUCAAUAAGCAUGUCCUUCAAAAGACAGAUUGGGCUUAAGUUCAGCAGAAUGUUUGAACCUUGGCAUGGUUUUUUUUUUAGUAGUGCCAGACAAAUCCCCGGGCCCAUGAUAUGUCUAUUUUGAUUUUAUCAUCAAUAUAGACAGAUAGACCAAAAAUUAAUCAAACACCGGGAAUGAUGAAUUGAUGAUUGAUGUUAUUUAAUCCCAGUGAUUAUGAUUUGUUAUACUGCAGUAACAUAGAGAGUUACAAAGAAGCUUAUAUAUCCCAUUUACACAAAUAAUCCCUUACUAAUUACUAUAAGACUUUAGUGAAGAUUUGCUUCCAUUAUGUCAGGUAAAAAUUACUUAUAAUCCAACUUCUAGAUAUUAUUUCAUCAAAACAUGAAAUAUCUUUACAUUCUUUGAAGUUCUGCCCAAGUACACAUAAUAGUUUCAACUAUGUUUGGUAUUAUCAUCUCUGAACAAAAACAGCAGCAGGAAAUACCACCAUCCUAAAUCUCAUGUCUUGAUGCCAAAACAUGCAGUUGGGAGAAGAUUCUUUUAGUUUCCUAACAAGUCUGAAUAUACUAUUGUGCAUAACCAUACCUAUGAAGAAGUGCUCAAGCAGAUAGGACUAGCGAAUGUCCACUGUAAAUUUACGGCAGAAUAAUGAGAUCCUAAAGAUAUUAAACAGCUAAUAAGACAAUAAAUUGUUUACAAA